Molecule: non-coding RNA, 107 nt
Filed under: Pontibacillus marinus
Lineage: Bacteria; Bacillati; Bacillota; Bacilli; Caryophanales; Bacillaceae
Also listed under: 1 other name
Description: TPP sequence
Rfam family: TPP riboswitch aptamer (THI element)
About the family: Vitamin B(1) in its active form thiamin pyrophosphate (TPP) is an essential coenzyme that is synthesised by coupling of pyrimidine and thiazole moieties in bacteria. The previously detected thiamin-regulatory element, thi box was extended, resulting in a new, highly conserved RNA secondary structure, the THI element, which is widely distributed in eubacteria and also occurs in some archaea. Analysis of operon structures identified a large number of new candidate thiamin-regulated genes, mostly transporters, in various prokaryotic organisms.
Source: RNAcentral
UUUGAGCACUAGGGGAGCUGUUUUUCCAAAACGGCUGAGAGGAUUCGUUCUGACCCUUGGCACCCGAACUAGGUAAUACUAGCGUGGGGAAGUGCAGGUUUCAGUCG